AAAAAAGGUAAGCUACUAAGAGCGAAUGGUGGAUGCCUUGACUGGUAAAGGCGAUGAAGGACGUACUAGACUGCGAUAAGCUACGGGGAGCUGUCAAGAAGCUUUGAUCCGUAGAUUUCCGAAUGGGGCAACCCAAUGUAUAGAGAUAUACAUUACCUAUAUAGGAGCGAACGAGGGGAAUUGAAACAUCUUAGUACCCUCAGGAAAAGAAAUCAAUAGAGAUUGCGUCAGUAGCGGCGAGCGAAAGCGCAAGAGGGCAAACCCAGUGCUUGCACUGGGGGUUGUAGGACUGCAAUGUGCAAGAGCUGAGUUUAGCAGAACAUUCUGGAAAGUAUAGCCAUAGAGGGUGAUAGUCCCGUAUGCGAAAAACAAAGCUUAGCUAGCAGUAUCCUGAGUAGGGCGGGACACGAGGAAUCCUGUCUGAAUCCGGGUCGACCACGAUCCAACCCUAAAUACUAAUACCAGAUCGAUAGUGCACAAGUACCGUGAGGGAAAGGUGAAAAGAACUGAGGUGAUCAGAGUGAAAUAGAACCUGAAACCAUUUGCUUACAAUCAUUCAGAGCACUAUGUAGCAAUACAGUGUGAUGGACUGCCUUUUGCAUAAUGAGCCUGCGAGUUGUGGUGUCUGGCAAGGUUAAGCAAACGCGAAGCCGUAGCGAAAGCGAGUCUGAAUAGGGCGCUUAGUCAGAUGCUGCAGACCCGAAACGAAGUGAUCUAUCCAUGAGCAAGUUGAAGCUAGUGUAAGAACUAGUGGAGGACUGAACCCAUAGGCGUUGAAAAGCCCCGGGAUGACUUGUGGAUAGGGGUGAAAGGCCAAUCAAACUUCGUGAUAGCUGGUUCUCUCCGAAAUAUAUUUAGGUAUAGCGUUGUGUCGUAAUAUAAGGGGGUAGAGCACUGAAUGGGCUAGGGCAUACACCAAUGUACCAAACCCUAUCAAACUCCGAAUACCUUAUAUGUAAUCACAGCAGUCAGGCGGCGAGUGAUAAAAUCCGUCGUCAAGAGGGAAACAACCCAGACUACCAGCUAAGGUCCCUAAAUCUUACUUAAGUGGAAAACGAUGUGAAGUUACUUAAACAACCAGGAGGUUGGCUUAGAAGCAGCCAUCCUUUAAAGAAAGCGUAAUAGCUCACUGGUCUAGUGAUUUUGCGCGGAAAAUAUAACGGGGCUAAAGUAAGUACCGAAGCUGUAGACUUGCGCACAACUUAGAUUAUUUAAGUUUAGAAUAUGAGAAACUAAGUUAUGUUUAGUUAUAUUUUUACUGAUUUUUAUAGAGUAAAGAUAGAAAUAAAACUUAGUAAAAUCAGUAAAAAUAUUCUUAGGCUAAAGUUAAGUAGUUUAAGUUGUGUGCAAGUGGUAGGAGAGCGUUCUAUUUGCGUCGAAGGUAUACCGGUAAGGAGUGCUGGAGCGAAUAGAAGUGAGCAUGCAGGCAUGAGUAGCGAUAAUUAAUGUGAGAAUCAUUAACGCCGUAAACCCAAGGUUUCCUACGCGAUGCUCGUCAUCGUAGGGUUAGUCGGGUCCUAAGUCGAGUCCGAAAGGGGUAGACGAUGGCAAAUUGGUUAAU
This 1561-nucleotide ribosomal RNA is filed under the name Campylobacter jejuni. Its description in RNAcentral is "partial 23S ribosomal RNA". It matches the Rfam family "Bacterial large subunit ribosomal RNA", at positions 1 to 1434 of the family's 2925-position model. Lineage: Bacteria; Pseudomonadati; Campylobacterota; Epsilonproteobacteria; Campylobacterales; Campylobacteraceae. The record is from RNAcentral.